GACGAACGCUGGCGGCGUGCCUAAUACAUGCAAGUCGAACGCACAGCGAAAGGUGCUUGCACCUUUCAAGUGAGUGGCGAACGGGUGAGUAACACGUGGACAACCUGCCUCAAGGCUGGGGAUAACAUUUGGAAACAGAUGCUAAUACCGAAUAAAACUCAGUGUCGCAUGACACAAAGUUAAAAGGCGCUUUGGCGUCACCUAGAGAUGGAUCCGCGGUGCA
Molecule: ribosomal RNA, 223 nt
Filed under: uncultured bacterium
Lineage: Bacteria
Description: partial 16S ribosomal RNA
Rfam family: Bacterial small subunit ribosomal RNA
Source: RNAcentral